This 253-nucleotide ribosomal RNA is filed under the name uncultured bacterium. RNAcentral's name for it is "partial small subunit ribosomal RNA". It matches the Rfam family "Bacterial small subunit ribosomal RNA", at positions 26 to 285 of the family's 1533-position model. The record is from RNAcentral.
AGGACGAACGCUGGCGGCGUGCUUAACACAUGCAAGUCGAGCGGAAAGGCCCUUCGGGGUACUCGAGCGGCGAACGGGUGAGUAACACGUGAGUAAUCUGCCCCUAGCUCUGGGAUAGCUCCGGGAAACCGGGAUUAAUACUGGAUACGACCACCUUAGACAUCUUUUGUGGUGGAAAGAAUUUCGGCUAGGGAUGAGCUCGCGGCCUAUCAGCUUGUUGGUGGGUAACGCCUACCGAAGGCGACGACGGGUA